AACGUAGGUACCGAGCGUUAUCCGGAUUUACUGGGCGUAAAGCGCGUUCAGGCGGUUUGGCAAGUCGGGCCUGAAAUCUCUCGGCUCAACCGGGAGAGGUUGUCCGAUACUUCCAGACUUGAGGGCAGUAGAGGGUGGUGGAAUUCCGGGUGUAGUGGUGAAAUGCGUAGAUAUCCGGAGGAACACCAGUGGCGAAAGCGGCCACCUGGACUGCACCUGACGCUGACACGCGAAAGCUAGGGGAGCGAACGGG
Molecule: ribosomal RNA, 253 nt
Filed under: uncultured bacterium
Lineage: Bacteria
Description: partial 16S ribosomal RNA
Rfam family: Bacterial small subunit ribosomal RNA
Source: RNAcentral